Molecule: ribosomal RNA, 468 nt
Filed under: uncultured bacterium
Lineage: Bacteria
Description: partial 16S ribosomal RNA
Rfam family: Bacterial small subunit ribosomal RNA
Source: RNAcentral
GACGAACGCUGGCGGCGUGCUUAACACAUGCAAGUCGAACGGAAAGGCCCUGCUUUUGUGGGGUUCUCGAGUGGCGAACGGGUGAGUAACACGUGAGUAACCUGCCCUUGACUUUGGGAUAACUUCAGGAAACUGGGGCUAAUACCGGAUAGGAGCUCCUGCUGCAUGGUGGGCGUUGGAAAGUUUCGGCGGUUGGGGAUGGACUCGCGGCUUAUCAGCUUGUUGGUGGGGUAGUGGCUUACCAAGGCUUUGACGGGUAGCCGGCCUGAGAGGGUGACCGGGCACAAUGGGACUGAGAUACGGACCAGACUCCUACGGGAGGCAGCAGUGGGGAAUAUUGCACAAUGGGCGGAAGCCUGAUGCAGCAACGCCGCGUGCGGGAUGACGGCCUUCGGGUUGUAAACCGCUUUGGCCUGUGACGAAGCGUGAGUGACGGUAAUGGGUAAAGAAGCACCGGCUAACUACGUG